Molecule: ribosomal RNA, 665 nt
Filed under: uncultured bacterium
Lineage: Bacteria
Description: bacterial SSU rRNA
Rfam family: Bacterial small subunit ribosomal RNA
Source: RNAcentral
UAGAGUUUGAUCAUGGCUCAGAUUGAACGCUGGCGGCAGGCCUAACACAUGCAAGUCGAACGGUAACAUUUCUAGCUUGCUAGAAGAUGACGAGUGGCGGACGGGUGAGUAAUACUUGGGGAUCUGCCUUUGUGAGGGGGAUAACUACUGGAAACGGUAGCUAAUACCGCAUAAUGUCUACGGACCAAAGGGGGCUUCGGCUCUCGCGCAAAGAUGAACCCAAGCGAGAUUAGCUAGUUGGUGAGGUAAAGGCUCACCAAGGCGACGAUCUCUAGCUGUUCUGAGAGGAAGAUCAGCCACACUGGGACUGAGACACGGCCCAGACUCCUACGGGAGGCAGCAGUGGGGAAUAUUGCACAAUGGGGGGAACCCUGAUGCAGCCAUGCCGCGUGUGUGAAGAAGGCCCUAGGGUUGUAAAGCACUUUCAGUUGUGAGGAAAGGGUAACGGUUAAUACCCGUUAUCUGUGACGUUAGCAACAGAAGAAGCACCGGCUAACUCCGUGCCAGCAGCCGCGGUAAUACGGAGGGUGCGAGCGUUAAUCGGAAUUACUGGGCGUAAAGCGCACGCAGGCGGUUUGUUAAGCUAGAUGUGAAAGCCCCAGGCUCAACCUGGGAACUGCAUUUAGAACUGACUGACUAGAGUCUUGGAGAGGGGAGUGGAAUUC